This 1398-nucleotide ribosomal RNA is filed under the name Triticum aestivum (bread wheat). Its description in RNAcentral is "partial small subunit ribosomal RNA". Lineage: Eukaryota; Viridiplantae; Streptophyta; Magnoliopsida; Poales; Poaceae. The record is from RNAcentral.
AUGGCCGCUUCACCGCCGCUCCGUCACGUGGCCAUGCUCCCCUUCAUGGCCAAAGGCCACGCCAUGCCGCUGCUCCACCUGGCGCGCCUCCUCCUCGGCCGCCGCCUCGCCUCCGCCGUCACCUUCUUCACCACCCCGCGCAACGCGCCCUUCAUCCGCGCGGGGCUCGCCGGCGCCGCGGUCGUCGAGCUUCCGUUCCCCUCCGGGGACGCCCCGCAGUGCACGGACGAGCUCCCGUCCACGACGCAUCUCGUGGACUUCGUUUCCGCGAUGGCGGCGCUCGGGCUGGCGUUCGCGGACGCGCUCGCCGCGGUCGAGCCCAGGCCGGACCUGCUCGUCCACGACGGGUUCAUCGUGUGGGCCAAGGACAUCGCCGACGAGCUCGGCAUGCCGCGGCUCGUCACCCUCGGCAUCGGCGGCUUCGCCUCGUACGUCUGCGGGGCGGUCAUGACGCACAAGCCGCAGGCGCUCAUGAGCUCGCCAACCGAGCCGUUCCCGGUCCCCGGCCUGCCGGACCUCCGCAUCACCAUGGCCGACCUCGGCCCGCCCUUCGACGUCCCGGAACCGGCCGGCCCGCACUGGGAUUUCGUGUGCGAGAGCUGCAGCAGCAUGUACUCCAGUAGGGGCAUCAUCGCCAACUCCUUCAGCGAGCUGGAGUCGGUCUACAUCGACCUGUGGAACCGAGACUUCGACAUCAAGAUGUGGCCGAUCGGACCGCUCUGUCUCGCGGCUCCCGAACCGGCAGUCCAGACCAAAGACGACCGUGACAUCUCGGACUGGCUGGACUCGAGGCUCGCCAUGGACCGCCCGGUCCUCUACGUCGCGUUCGGCUCGCAGGCCGAGCUGAGCCGGGCUCAGCUGGAAGAGAUCGCCGUCGGCUUGGACCACUGCGGCGUAGACUUCCUAUGGGUGGUCCGGUCGAAGUGGUUCGACACGGAGGAUCGGUUCAAUGACAGGUUCGGGGACAGGGGCAAGGUGGUGGAAGGUUUCAUCAACCAGCUCGGAGUGCUAGGUCACAAGUCAGUCAAAGGUUUCUUCACCCACUGCGGGUGGAACUCCGUGCUGGAGAGCAUCACCAUGGGCGUGCCAAUACUGGCGUUCCCAUUGGCAGCCGAGCAGAAGCUCAACGCCAAGUUCGUCGUGGACGUGGUCCACAUGGGGCUCCGAGUUUGGCCCAAAGAAGAUGCUGACAAGGAAGGCAGUGGAUUGGUUGUGAGUGGAGACGUGCAGGUGUUGGCGAGGGAGUUGAUCUUGGGAGAGGAAGGGCGACGUGCCGCGGCUAGAGCAAGUGAGCUAUCUGUGUCUUCUAGAAAGGCCAUGGAAGUGGGUGGUUCCUCGUAUGAAAACCUGGCAAAGAUGGUUCACGAGGUCUGUGAGACCAAUGCCAAUGGUGGUUAA